Molecule: long non-coding RNA, 1707 nt
Organism: Nothoprocta perdicaria
Lineage: Eukaryota; Metazoa; Chordata; Aves; Tinamiformes; Tinamidae
Exons: 5
Source: RefSeq, a predicted model, not a curated record
AAGCGCUGGCCUCAGUAAAGAGGGAUAUUAGACCUCUUUGAUAAGAUGUAACUGCUAUAGGAUGAGGCUGGCAUCAAACAACCCUGGAAACAGACGAGCAGGAGAAGGGAAUAUCACGACAGAGGAAAAGAAUGAACUCUCAGACCUCAGGAUCUGAAUGCUGGGCCAGAAAAUUCGCCGGCUCUGGGAGAUGCUCUCUGGUUGUCUCGGGAUAUUGGAACACCCCAGACCUCAACAACAUAUUUCUCUCCUGCAUGUCCUAAGCUCAUCUGAAGAGAGCUUCAAAGGGAAGACACUCCAGGGAGUUUUCCUGACGUGGCUUGUCUGAACUGCCAGCACCUGCUCUGCACUUCCAGAUCCCAGAGCUCAGAAGCAGAGCUUCUCCAUGCCCAUGUCACAGUGUUCAUCCUUCAUCAUGACAUGUAGGGUUCCUUGACCACUUCUCCCAGAUGGAGCCAUGUGGCACCUGGAUGUGUUAAACUGUUAAGUAUGUUAAAGGCUCCUACUCAGGAGUCUAAAGUGCUCAACAUUAAUGAAGGAGGAGUUCGGGGCCAAAGUAGUGAGGAGUCUGCUCGUACCUGGUUGAGUCUUUUUGUUGCUCUCUUUUGCUCUUGGGUUUGAGGAUAACAUUGCAAAUUGUCUAGAAAUGGCAUGUCUUCAUGACUGAGAAGUGAGAACUAGACAAAGUCAUCAAGGCCCCUGGUCCUUUCAAAGAACAGUAAUUUCCAGAAUCAUAAAAUACUGGUUUAAGAAAAAAAUCUGAAAUAAGAAAAGGAAAAGCAAUGGUAGCUCCAGUUACAGAAACUCAGCUUUGCUUGUCUGAUUUCUCACGAUAAAUCAUAAAUGCUUUUAAAAGCAAACAAGAGCUUAGCGUUUGACAUGCCCUAGGAAUGAAUGUCACAGCCCUGCUGGCUCUGCUUUCACAGGACUGCUAUGCAAAGCAACCUCCCCGUGCAAAAGAGAUGGCAAAGCAGAGCAAUAAAUGUGAUCCAGGUCAGGACUGCUGCCUCACACAUACACCACGGUUAAAGAAACUGCUACUAAGGUCUUCACCCCGCAUUGGGAUUUGUCUGUGAUUAGACUUGUGACCAUUUAACGUAGAGCAUCCUUUCAACGUGAUUCUCUUCAACCUGGAAGAAGAAUACCCUCCAAGGCAUUGGAAUCGGCUCCUCAGCCACUAUCCAGCAAUCACCUCCCUGAGAACUGUGCGCUUUCCAAGAUAAUUGCAUGUUUUCCUCCACUGCUGGAUAGAGUUCUGCUGUGGCACCAAAUGUAGCCACCAAGAAACUGCAGUUUUCAACCAUUCCAUUUUAGAUUCCCCUUUCCUAAAUUUCUUAAUCCCCACUAACAGAGAGAAAUCUCCAGUGGAUCAGAGGAUUUCCUGCUUUAGUAUAAUGCAAGCGCAGAACAGUUUCACAAGCAAAAGAGAUAGAGCUCUGACUUCAAAAAACAAGAGAAAUUCAGAGUUGGAAAAUCAAAGGAAUUAGAGAAGUGGUCUUGAAGCUAGCACUGUAACGCAUUAACAAUAAGCUCCUGCCGUACCCCACCAGGGCCAGGUCCGUGAGAUACCAUCAGCUGAUGGGGCUGUCAUCAACCUCUUCUUGCAGGACCAUUGCCCCUGCAGCUGUGCUUCAUCUACGCUCUGAACCGAGAGAUCCCAUCCUGAAGCGACCCAUGUGCUUGGCCCUCACCAUUUGAGUUUUCAGU